RNAcentral lists this transfer RNA (118 nucleotides) under Vibrio alginolyticus. RNAcentral describes it as "tRNA-OTHER". Lineage: Bacteria; Pseudomonadati; Pseudomonadota; Gammaproteobacteria; Vibrionales; Vibrionaceae. The record is from RNAcentral.
UUGGUUGUACAAAUAACUGGUACAAACCUUUAAAGUGGUGUAUGUUUAAGUUAUUGAUUUUAAUUGUUUUAAACUUGGUAGCUAGCAAUCGAGAGUUCGAAUCUCUCACUCACCGCCA